This 499-nucleotide ribosomal RNA is filed under the name uncultured bacterium. RNAcentral describes it as "partial 16S ribosomal RNA". It matches the Rfam family "Bacterial small subunit ribosomal RNA", at positions 28 to 507 of the family's 1533-position model. The record is from RNAcentral.
GACGAACGCUGGCGGCGUGCUUAACACAUGCAAGUCGAACGGGCCCGCUCUCUUUUUUGGGGGUGGGUUGAGUGGCGAACGGGUGAGUAUCACGUGAGUAACCUGCCCCCUGCUCCUGGAUAACUGCUUGAAAGGGCGGCUAAUACGGGGUGUGCCGGCUGGUCCGCAUGGGCCUGGUCGGGAUAGUUUCAUCUUCGGGUGUUUCGGUGGGGGAUGGGCUCGCGGCCUAUCAGCUUGUUGGUGGGGUGAUGGCCCACCAAGGCGGUGACGGGUAGCCGGCCUGAGAGGGUGGGCGGCCACACUGGGACUGAGACACGGCCCAGACUCCUGCGGGAGGCAGCAGUGGGGGGUAUUGCACAAUGGGCGGAAGCCUGACGCAGCGACGUCGCGUGAGGGAUGGAGGCCUUCGGGUUGUGAACCUCUUUCUCCGGUGGUGAAGGCCCUGUCCGUUGCGGCGGGGUUGACGGUAGCCGGGUAUGAAGCGCCGGCUAACUACGUG